Colius striatus (speckled mousebird) is the source of this 4279-nucleotide long non-coding RNA. RefSeq lists it as uncharacterized. The transcript is spliced from 3 exons. The record is from RefSeq and is a predicted model, not a curated record. Lineage: Eukaryota; Metazoa; Chordata; Aves; Coliiformes; Coliidae.
GGCUGCAAAGCCCAAAGACACAGAUGGAAAUCAGGGGAUUGGAAACCAUCUAAAUCCAAAUGCCUUUGCUUGUCUCUCAGAAUUCAAGCCUGGAUGGAUGCUGUUAUGCUUUGAACAAAUCCUUCAAGUGGAGUGGAGAAAGUUGGUCUGUGUUAGUUCCUCCGCUCCUGGAGUCUUCUGGCCUCUCUGACAGAUAGGACAUCUGAGAGCAAAUGUCCCACACUUGACUCCAGGACCAGGCAGAAGGAGAUGAAUCAUAUUGCAAAACUGACAGGUGAUCAGCAUUUACUAUCUCAAACCAACAGGAAACAAUGUGUGCCAAGGUAUAUUUUAUCAGGAUCUGGCCAGGAGGUGACAAGUGGAAAGAUUUCUGUUUAAAAACUUCGCACAGCAGACACGGAGAGAAAAGACCCACAGAGUGAAGAAUUCUUCAAGCCAGCAAGUUUAUUUGCCCCAUGAAAUUUCAGUGCUUCUGAACCUUUGAGAUGGCCUGACAAUAAAACUGGAUGAGGCUGGUUUGGGGUAUAAGCAUUUUGCUUAAGGUAUUGAGAAAAAAAUAAUGGGAGAAGUGAAUCAAACAUUAUUGUCAGGUUUUUGCUUCUCCAUGACUCUACAUUGUGACUUUUAGUGUGUAGCUAUCUCCUUGACAGCACCUACUGUCUCGAGAUCAUUCUCUCCCAGCAGAAGAGAAAGAAGUGGUGUAAAAUUCAGCAGCAGAGAACUGAGCAAGGGAAGGCUGCACUGAUAACAUCAAGGUGGCUCAUUCCUCAUCUGAAUUUUUGUUCUUUCUUUUGUGCUAUGUUGAUGUGAGAGUUGGUGUAUUGAAGCUCGGUCCUGCAGACCCGCUUCGUGUGUACAGGGUCUCCAUUGCUGAAAAAAAACUGUGAAGAAAGAAAAAUUAUUAGUAACCCGUGAACAACAAAUUGAAGCUGCUACACUGAGGAGUGGGUGUAGAUCAUGGGACGCUGUGGAGUCUCAUCUGGGACACGUAUUUCACUUUGCAUUUUAGCUUCCAGCUAUACUGGAAGCCCUGAUCACUCAAUGGAUUUGGUUUUUUUACCUCCCUUCUUAGAUAUUUCAGCAGAGUUUGAAAUUAUUGCAGCAGAAUUGGUUCAUUUCUAAUGUGUGCAAUACCUAUUUAAUCUGUUCUUCCCCUCACAGCUUUUGACUCCAAGAACUGGUAACCAACUAUGUAUUUAAAACUAAAAAAUUGAAAUAGGACUACAGAGUCUCAUGGCCUGACAGAGCCAGACUAAAGAAUGGAAACUACUGGGAGGACAUCUCACUCCCAUAAAAGCCCUUUUCAAGAUCUGUGCACUCUUUGCUGAUGAUGCUGGCUUUAGUAGAGGAACCCUCUGGUAUUAGGUUACUCUUUCAUCACUUUUAAGUCCUUGGAGAUUUGUUCUCAUCUUUAGGCCUUGGCUGCUAACACUGCAGAAUAUAUGUAAAUUGCAGUAAGAACUACAGAGGUUUGCUCAGAGCAAUCCCAGGCAAAUGUUCCAGAUCUCAGUGUGCUUGGUGCACAAUUACGAAAUUCAACAAGGGCAAGUGUAGAGUGUUCCCUCUGGGAAAGAAUAACCCCAUGUGCCAGUGCAGGUUGGGGAAUGAACUGUUAGAGAGUAGUGCAGGUAAAAGGGAUCUGGGGGUCCUGGUGGGCAGCAGGAUGAGCAUGAGCCAGCAAUGUGCCCUCGUGGCCAAGAAGGCCAGUGGCAUUCUGGGAUGUAUUAGAAGGGCUGUGGCAAGUAGGUCGAGAGACGUUCUGCUCCCCCUCUACUCUGUCCUUGUGAGACCACAUCUGGAAUAUUGCGUCUAGUUCAAGUUCUUGAACUGCCCCUCAGUUCAAGAAGGACAGGGAGGUGCUGGAGGGAGUUCAGUGCAGGGCCAUAAAGAUGAUGGAGCGGAACAUCUCCCUUCUGAUGAAAGGCUGAGCUAGCUGGGGCUCUUCAGCUUGGAGAAGACUGAGGAGUGACCUCAUUAGUGUUUACAAAUACAUAAAGGGCAGGUGUCAGGAGGAUGGAGCCAGGCUGUUCUCAAUAAUUUCCAAUGAUAGGACAAGGGGCAAUGGGUACAAGCUGGAACAGAAGAGGUUACAAGGUAGCAUAAGGAAAAACUUCUUCCCUGUUGAGAUGAGAGGGCGCUGGAACAGGCUGCCCAUAUGGUUUGUGGAGUCUCCUUCUCUGCAGGCAUUCAAAGCUCACCUGUAUGAGUUCCUAUGUGGCCUACUCUAGGUGGUCCUGCUCUGGCAGGGGAGUUGGACUUCAUGAGCUUUCAAGGUCCCUUCCAGCCCUUAAGAUUCUUGGCUCUGUGAUUCUGUGAUUCUGUUUAGUUACCACAAUAGUUUUGUGAUCUUCCCCAAAUAGUAUACAUUUAAUUUCACUGCUUUUGCUAGUCACGAGUUGUCCACAGACUGCAAAUAUGUGACCACAAAACUUACUGAAGUAAAUUGAUUUGGACUGUUGGUUACUUAGUAGGAUUGCUGGUUGGACUCCAGCUCUUCCUUGCAAUGUUCGUGCAGUAUACAGCUUGUGCUCUCUUAUAUGAGAUCAGGAGAUCUGUCGCUUCUCGUGAGAUUGUUGGGAAAUAAAAUCAAAGCAGUAUAUGAAUUUGUGGACUAUCUUUUGGCAAUUUAUCGGAUGAGAUACUGACUGCCAACUACCUCAUGAAUGGAUGAGAAGGUCUCUAAAUUGGGAUCUUUAUCUAGGGUUUAAGUAAACCUUAACCAUGUCCAAAGAUUUUGUAUUCAUCCUCUGUUCUCAUGAUUUCAAUGACCUUAAAAUCCUGCUAUGAGUUAAAGGAAGAAAAAAAAAAACCACAUUUAAUAUGUUUCUGUAGGAUAGACUCCUUAAAUUAACAUUUCCAGGCUAAAUUUUCUAGUGAUCUGCUCCACUACAGUACCUAAAUUUCCACAUUCUGAGAAGCUGAAAUAAAAAGCUGAAGAUUGCUCAUGUAGACAUUAUUUUUCCCCGUUAAGUCACUGUUUUUCCACAUGAAUCACAGGGUAAAGAUAUCGGGCUUCAAUUCAGAUUAUGACAGUAUCUAAUGUCUUUUCCACAUACAGCUUCAAACUAGGAGAAGACUUCCUCUCUUGUUUUCAUGGGAAUUUUGUGAAUUCCAGUAUGUAUAUUUUUCCAGCUGUAGUAUUUUAUUUGCAACUCGUAAUUGCCAAUUGAAAUAUUACCUUUCCUAUGGAAAAGUUACUAAUACUAAAUCUUAGAAACAUAAGUUUAUUUCAAGUACUCAGGUUAGAUAAUUUCUAUGCAUAAAGCAGUGUCUGUAAUGCUCUGAAAUAACUCUCUAUAGGUGUCAACACCUGGAUAUGGGCUUCAUUACUUAUAUAGAAAUCUGCUUGUACAAAGCUUAAGGGCAGAGGGGGGUGCAUUACAUCUUUAGCUUAAGGUCAUUUGAGGCAAACCUUUCCCUUAUAAAUCUGUGACAAAAAAUAGUCUGAUUGAAGUGGCCAUCUGGUUUCCUUGGGAAGGACUGAAUAAAAGUAGCUAGCGCUACAUUUACAGGGUAGACUUUUUAUCCGCCGGCCUGAUUUUUAUCCUCGGUGUCCAUGGAUUGGAUCAAUCCUAACCACAAAUACAGGUUGGGCAGAGAAUAAACUGAGAGUAGCUCUAAGCAGAAAGACUUAGGGAAGAAGCUCAACAUGACCUGUUAUUGUGCACUUGCAGCCCAGAAAGCCAACUGUGUACUGGGCUGCGUAAAAUGAAUCAUGGCUGGCAGGUCAAGGGAUGUGAUUCUGCCUCUCUACUCUAAUCUCAUGAGACCCUCUUCCUGGAGCACUUUGUUCAGCUCUGAGAACCUCAACAUAAGAAGAACAUGGACUUGUUGGAGCAAGUCCAGAGGAGUGUUAUGCUGGAGUGCCUUUCCUAUGAAGACAGGCUGAGAAGAAAAGGCUCUGGAGAGACCUUGUAACAGCCCUCCUUAAAGGAGGCUACAAGAAAGCUAGAGAGGGACUUCUUAGUAGGAUCUGUUGUGAUAAGGACUAAUGGCUUCAGACUGAAACAAAGUAUAUUUAGAUUAGACAUUAGGAAGAAGUUCUUCACUGUGAGGGUGGUGAAACAUUAAAACAGAUUACCUAGAACAACCUGGUCUAGUGGAAGGUGUCACUACCCGUGGCAGGGGAAUUGGAAGUAGAUGAUCAUUAAGGCCACGUGCAACACAAACCAUUCUAUGUUUCAAUGAAAAAUACAUCUAGGAAAGCCAGGGAUGAGGAAAAAGCAUGGCCUAUGUGAUAUACUGUAUACACUAUGUGUAUCAAUGUUCCUGUUACAGA